Platichthys flesus (European flounder) is the source of this 848-nucleotide long non-coding RNA. RefSeq lists it as uncharacterized. The transcript is spliced from 4 exons. NCBI's taxonomy places the organism in Eukaryota, Metazoa, Chordata, Actinopteri, Pleuronectiformes, Pleuronectidae. The record is from RefSeq and is a predicted model, not a curated record.
UCCAAUCACAGCCUCGUGAAUACAGAGCCUGUCUGCCGUAGAUAUGCGAGGCUCCUGUUGUUUGUUCCGUACAAGUGACUCUGUUUUCGGUUUUAAUAAUUUGCUGAAGUCGACACGACGCUGUUUCCCUGGAGGAGAAGAUGAGUGCGUGGGAAAGCAAAGCCGAGGGCCCGGUGUGGAGGAGUCGAAGCGGAGAAGACGGAUGCACAGUCCCUGAACAAAGGAAGCUCUCCCUCUUCACAGCUGUGAUGAAAAUGGCCGGCGGAGCGAGGGUAUGAAUGAAGAAGAGCUGUUCUGUUUAAAAUGCAUCCUCCAGCUUUACUUUAUCUGAUCGAUUUCAUAGUUUUGUUUCACAGCCGGAUUCCUGCACACAAUGACGCAGUCACUGCACAUUACACCGAGACUCGCUGAAAGUCCGCAUUUGCAGUGCCUGCCUGUACUAUGACGUCCUAAGACCCACUAUGAGCCGGUAUGAAGGAGCUUCCAGUACAACCAAACGGACCUUGCAGCGGCAUUGAGGAGUUCAGGAGUCGGCAGAGAAGAAAGAGGCUGAUUGAAGCGGGACAGAUGACAUCGAUCCAUCCUUCCACAGCCAGGAGCUCAACAACCUGUGUGCUUCAAAUAAGACUAGAAGCUACACUGGAUCUCACAGCUUCACACCACAGACGUCUACACACCACAGACGUCUACACACUGGGGCAGAUUCGGACAGAGUCCCACAAAUAACAUAUGACCCAGAGGCUGCAAAGAGACAUUUCAAGCUUCACCUGAUUAGCUUUUCACUGGCUAGGCCAGUUGUGUUUGUACAAUAUUUGUGCUGUAUGUAAAUAAAGGUUUGACUCAACAUA